Molecule: long non-coding RNA, 1062 nt
Filed under: Crocodylus porosus (Australian saltwater crocodile)
Lineage: Eukaryota; Metazoa; Chordata; Crocodylia; Crocodylidae
Description: lncRNA (ENSCPRG00005009809.1)
Source: RNAcentral
UGAACUGAAACCAUUUUAUUAGUGAGACUGCAUAAUGGCUUCUUCUAUGAUGAUUAUUCCCCCUAAUAAUCCCUUUCUUACAUCUGCAAGCAUGAUUCAUGGAAGUGUGUAGCUAUUUGUUAAAGAUACCAUAUGCUGUUAAUUUCUUGAAGGGAUUGUCUUUGUGGCACAGGCAGGGUGUUUUCUGUUGUUCUGUUUCUUUUUUUUUUUUUUUUUUGUGCAUCAGGCACAUUAUUACCCUUUAUUGUAUACAGCUCCCUUUGUCUGACAUGCAGAGUCUGUUCUGGAGGGGAUAGGUUAGCUACUGCUUAUUCAGUUUGGAACCCGAUUAAUGACAGGUUUUCCUCGCUGCUGUAGAUGAAUCCUGAAAAUGGUCAGCCUCCCCAUGAACCAACAUGAAAUACAGUGAACGGGGCAUGCCGAAGAUGGAGAGGAGAAUUAAUUGCAUCAGAUCACAAAAGAGCCAACAGCAAAGGGCACAGGAACAGAAGCUGCAGCUAUCAUUGAGAUUAAGGAACAAAGACAUGUGCAAAUAGUCAAAAAAUGCUUUGUGCAAGACCUGAGGCACUCAUUAAGGGACCAGUAAAACCGUUAGCUCUUCUAGUGAGGAGAUCCACAAAGGAGACUCGGUGCCACAACUCUGAGAGAGCUAAAGUUUCCUGAGGGAAUUUCAUCCUGCAGCUCCCACCUCCCAAAUGAAUUCCCCAUCUCAGGACUACAGGCUGCUCAGAGGCUCCUACACUACACCUCCUUCCAGCUCCUGAUACAAGAUGCUUUUGAAAAGAAAAGGAGACAUGUCCUCGUGGUCUUUAGAUGCCAGAACAACCCCUGGAAUCAUGGCAAUUUCUAGCAAACACACUGCCUGCUGAAAAACAAGUGAGACUGGUUGAUCUGUCCUACGUGAAGCUUGUAUUGCUCUGGUUUGAUUCAAAAUGGUGGGAUGCCAACUGUGAGAAUGAAAAUCAGCAUCCAUUCAGACAUGAUUUCUUUGAUGCAAUAGAAAUUCAUGGUUUGUGGAACUAGAUGCAGGAAUCUUUAGUGCUCUGCAGUCAUCAACCCAAC